GACGAACGCUGGCGGCGUGCUUAACACAUGCAAGUCGAACGGAAAGGCCCUGCUUUUGUGGGGUGCUCGAGUGGCGAACGGGUGAGUAACACGUGAGUAACCUGCCCUUGACUUUGGGAUAACUUCAGGAAACUGGGGCUAAUACCGGAUAGGAGCUCCUGCUGCAUGGUGGGGGUUGGAAAGUUUCGGCGGUUGGGGAUGGACUCGCGGCUUAUCAGCUUGUUGGUGGGGUAGUGGCUUACCAAGGCUUUGACGGGUAGCCGGCCUGAGAGGGUGACCGGCCACAGUGGGACUGAGAUACGGCCCAGACUCCAACGGGAGGCAGCAGUGGGGAAGAUUGCACAAUGGGCGGAAGCCUGAUGCAGCAACGCCGCGUGCGGGAUGACGGCCUUCGGGUUGUAAACCGCUUUCGCCUGUGACGAAGCGUGAGUGACGGUAAUGGGUAAAGAAGCACCGGCUAACUACGUG
This 468-nucleotide ribosomal RNA is filed under the name uncultured bacterium. RNAcentral's name for it is "partial 16S ribosomal RNA". It matches the Rfam family "Bacterial small subunit ribosomal RNA", at positions 28 to 507 of the family's 1533-position model. The record is from RNAcentral.